ACCCAGCUGACGAGUCCCAGCUGGGACGAAACGCACAUCAUGGAU
Non-coding RNA from Schistosoma mattheei, 45 nucleotides. The record is from Rfam. Lineage: Eukaryota; Metazoa; Platyhelminthes; Trematoda; Strigeidida; Schistosomatidae.